UUACCUUUGCCCAUGAAGCCAUAAAAAUAUAUAAAUCCCAAGAAUGACAUUUCUUAACGAAUUAUCAACAUUCACAACAUUUCUAUGAGGUUGGCUGUGGCUUUCCACUGGGCUAUGGAUUUACAGUGAAUACUUAUAAUAUUAUGUUGCCUGGGCAUCUAUUUUGAGUAUCAGAUUGUCUUGUACCAGGAGCAGAACACAGACAUCACUCACCAAAUUUCCAGUUCUCAGCUCUCUCCCAGUUACUGAAUGUGGAAGGCAAGGUACUUCUAUGGAAGGGUGUGCUCUCACAGAUGGAGCAAUGAUUUUUCUCUUCAAACUUUUUAAACAUGUCUUGGCUUAGUUCUUCUGCUUGAUUUUCCAAAAGAACAAGCUUCUUUGGAUAAGAUGGAAUAUUUGAUCCAUUCCAACCAGGCGCUUGCAUCUUGGUGUCCUGUCUUAAUUGCCAAAGGCUGACUGUU
Homo sapiens (human) is the source of this 461-nucleotide long non-coding RNA. Ensembl annotates it as long intergenic non-protein coding RNA 2342. The record is from Ensembl. Lineage: Eukaryota; Metazoa; Chordata; Mammalia; Primates; Hominidae.